Molecule: ribosomal RNA, 253 nt
Filed under: uncultured bacterium
Lineage: Bacteria
Description: partial 16S ribosomal RNA
Rfam family: Bacterial small subunit ribosomal RNA
Source: RNAcentral
UACGAGGGGGGCGAGCGUUGUUCGGAAUUAUUGGGCGUAAAGAGCUCGUAGGCGGUUUGUCGCGUCUGCUGUGAAAACCUAAGGCUCAACCUUGGGCUUGCAGUGGGUACGGGCAGACUAGAGUGCGGUAGGGGUGACUGGAAUUCCUGGUGUAGCGGUGGAAUGCGCAGAUAUCAGGAGGAACACCGAUGGCGAAGGCAGGUCACUGGGCCGCAACUGACGCUGAGGAGCGAAAGCAUGGGGAGCGAACAGG